RNAcentral lists this long non-coding RNA (1858 nucleotides) under Marmota monax (woodchuck). The record is from RNAcentral. Lineage: Eukaryota; Metazoa; Chordata; Mammalia; Rodentia; Sciuridae.
UUCAUACUGUGCUAGAAUUAAGCAGGGUUGUUUGGGAAGGGGUUAGGAAGAGGCACAUCUAAACUUUACCAGUUUUAAACCAAUGUAUCAUAUUUAUUGUUUACUAUACGAGGGAGAGGUAUCUGGAUCUUACUUGAUACCCUGGAGAGCAGAGACGUGUAUCCUUACUUGUAGGUCCUUAAUUAUUACUGUACCCCUGAUUUAGGGCAGUGAUGGACCUAAGAUAUGGCUCUGAAAGUAGUCAUUGGAUGGAUACAUGAUUUUAAGAAUGAAUGAGUCAAGUAAAGUACAUAGGUCACAUGGCUGAGUUGAUGAAUUAUGCAUGCAUCAGAACAAGGGUAAUGAAGAACAAUUUGACUUUUGCAUAUCAAAAGAACAUGGGUAGCGAGCAGAUGAAGAGGCAUGGUUUUCUAUUUAAAUAUUGUUUUCUCAUUGACUCAACAAAUUGUUCAAAUUGUUUAUAGUAGAUAAGUGAUGUUGCCCAGGGAGUGUGGUUUAGAGGUUGGAAAAGGAAUAUUGUGAAUGAUUAUUGCAGACUUAGCUUGAAGCAAAAUUUACAGUAUUUAGUCUGAUACAUCAUGAAUAUAUAUCACUGGUGUUCUAAAAUGUGUUUUACUGAAGAUCUUGGAAGUAGGCUCUGUAGUUUGUUAAAGGGGAAGAAAGGAUUGUGGAACCAUUGCAAUGUGUCUUUUAUCCUGAAGUGACUCUUUUUUCACAGUAUAGUCAGAAGACCUCCAAUUUGUGUAUGUCUAAAAUUGUGCCCCCUGCCCCCUUUUGCUUUGAAGAACUGAUAUUAAAUCAGUGGUGUCUUAUAGUUGUUAUCUAUAGAAUGAGUAUAAUAGUGCUAUGUCCCUUUUCUUCAUUGUUGAGUUUGGAUUAUUUUCCCCUUUUCUUUCUCCAGUUUUGAGGUUAUUAAUGGUUAUUUGUGUUUUGGGUGCUGAGAAACAUAGUGUACUACAGCUUUGUUGAAGAAAGAUUGAAACUUAGUCCCUGCUGGACACAGCUGACCCACAUUAGGAGUUAAUUAUGUAACAGGGAAGGGAAUAGCAUCUCACCUGGAAGUAGCAGCUCCAUUGUCUUUAAGGAGGGGCUGGAUUCUUCAUGAUUAGGGUAUCUUGAUAAAUUUUAUCAGCAAAGUGGCUUUAAAUCACUCUUACUGUAGCUUUCCUUGUUCUCUGUGAGUCUUACCCUAUGUUCACUGAACUUCAGAGAAUGGUGAUUUAAUUACAUAGAACAACUGAAGACCUCACCAACAUGUUAUUGCCUAAGUAUUGCUUUGAGUCUUUUUACCCAAAGUGGUCCCACUUUUUUUUUUUUAAAUGAAAACCCACAGUAAAGAGACUUCAGAAUCUGAAUAUAUUCUCCUGCUUUUUUUCUUUUACAUUUAAAAAUGUUUUCCUUAGUGCAUUAUAGUUAUACAUAAUAGUGGGGUUCAUUUUGACAUACUUAUAAAUGUAUAUAACAGUUUGCUUCAUUUUAGUCCCCAGUACUUAUCCUUUCCCACCUUUCUUCCCUCCCCCACCUUUUUUUUUAAAGCCCCAUUUUAUUAGCUGGUGCUGCCAUAAUACUGCAUUAUUAAUCAUCAGGACAGAAGCUUACUGCAGUAAGCACUUGUUUUUCUCACUUCUGGGACAGUCAGAUUUGCCUCUAGGCUUCAGAUUGGGCUCAGCUGGACUCUUUCUCAUUAUGGAGACUAUCUUCACAGAGCAAGGUCUACCUGAGUGGACCUUCAUGGUGGGCAAAAGAGGGCCAAGUCAAACACAUUUACAGUUUCUUAUAUUCUGUUGUCUAGAUGGUAUCACAUAGCCAAGCUAAAGUUAGUGCCACUCACUUAUUCCUACACUCAUUUGUAAAUUCA